Molecule: long non-coding RNA, 1602 nt
Organism: Oncorhynchus tshawytscha (Chinook salmon)
Lineage: Eukaryota; Metazoa; Chordata; Actinopteri; Salmoniformes; Salmonidae
Source: Ensembl
CAUAAAGUAUGUAUUUUUUUGUGAAACACUAAAUGUAUGUCAGGGAAAAGUAAUUUCCUACGGCUCUCUUCCUUAGUCUUUCCCCGCCUAAUUGCAGGCGUAUCCAUUUGAUUCACCCGGAUUCACGUUUUUGGUUUAACAGCGAGGUCACGUUCAAUGACGUAGACAAGCAUAUCAGCUACGUGCAACCAUAUUUAAAUACAUCAAGGAAAUUAGUGCAUCAAAAUAUGCAAAUCCAGCUUACCAUCUAGCCGCUGUGGGAGUAAUUCCCCCCACCGGUUCUUGGGUAUUUGAUUGCCGUUUUGAAAGCGAACAUUGCCUUGUUUGUUUUUGACGAAGCUCCGAGCGUGUGUGAGCGGUACGGAUCGGAAACAUGAAGUGAAGAAACCAAGGGUUCUGCCUGGGAAAUCGCCUGUGCAUAAUGAGACGACCUGCUCUGCCAUUCUCAAUGCUUCGACGCUGUUGGUUCGGCGUAAAGGGUGGGGAUAGUGUAUCAUUACACCGUUUUCAACCAUCCCGCAACCAUCCUACAACCAUUCUCAAUAUGACACAGCACCUUCAAUGAAUCCAGGCAUGUCUAUAUUUAUUUAUAGACCACUCAGGAUUUUAUGUGCUCUUUAGUAGAGCUCAUACUCUGUGACCCAUUUUUGCAUUAAAUUCGAUGGGGGAAUUAUUUUCAGUCCCCGAAAUGUGGACAAUUUCACUCAUAUUGUCGGACUGUCUUCUUUGUUGCAUUUUUUUCAUUCCAAAUACUCAGAAUAAAUGUAUGUUAACUGGCUAAAUGUAUCAUUAGGAUUAAUUAUGUUAUUUUAAUGUUAAGUGAGACAAACCUUGGUUGUAAAUGUCAAAUAAAAGUCUGAAUUCUGAGUUCCCAUGAAUCUCAGUGCCAUAAUGUUGUACAAUUGGAACAAAUAAACCAAGAAAUGCCAUAGCCAUGUCUCAUUGUCUCAAUGUCAUGUUGUCCAUAUUGUGUUAUAUUUGUAGAAUGUCAAUGACGCCACACAUUCAUUUAGUCAUUAUCUGGUGACAGUUGGUAAAUAUUAUGUAAACUAUUAAAUUAAUGAUUCUGUUUUCAUAUACAAAAUAUCUGUCUUCAUAUUGGGUCUACCAUGUUUAAGUAUCAAGGUGAAGGGCAUUUGGAAAGAAAUGGACAAACACAAUGAAGUCACAGGGCCUAUGGAGAGCAAUGGACAAACACAAUGAAGUCACACCAAAACAUCGGGAUAACUAAGAAAGCCAAUAACUUUACUGAAUUCUCUGCAAAAUACAAAUACCUUUCCCCAGCAGAAUAAACUUUUAUUUCAGGUUCCAUGCUUUUUCACUACAUACAGCUGAAUCAAGUCCCGAGAGAUACAGAGAUGUGGUUUUAAUUGAAUAACAUCGUAUCUUCAAGUUGCGACAAAGGCCAGCUUAUGCCGCUGAAAGCCGCUCUUGCGUUCCAAACACUAAUUUCAGACCGCCACAAUUUUCAGAUUUAUACAAGCUACAUUAGAUACUACAGACUGGUAAGUAUUUUUAGCUAUUCACACACACACACACACACACACACACACACACACACACACACACACACACACACACACACACACACACACACACACA